RNAcentral lists this ribosomal RNA (508 nucleotides) under uncultured bacterium. RNAcentral's name for it is "partial 16S ribosomal RNA". It matches the Rfam family "Bacterial small subunit ribosomal RNA", at positions 28 to 507 of the family's 1533-position model. The record is from RNAcentral.
GACGAACGCUGGCGGCGUGCUUAACACAUGCAAGUCGAACGGGCCUUGUCCCCUUUUUUUUUGGGGGUGGGGUUAGUGGCGAACGGGUGAGUAACACGUGAGUAACCUGCCCCUCACUUCUGGAUAACCGCUUGAAAGGGUGGCUAAUACGGGGUGUUCUGGCCUGCUCGCAUGGGUGGGUUUGGAAAGAUUCGACCGGUUUUGGUUGUUUUGGUGGGGGAUGGGCUCGCGGCCUAUCAGCUUGUUGGUGGGGUGAUGGCCUGCCAAGGCUUUGACGGGUAGCCGGCCUGAGAGGGUGGGCGGUCACCCUGGGACUGAGACACGGCCCAGACUCCUACGGGAGGCAGCAGUGGGGAAUAUUGCACAAUGGGCGCAAGCCUGAUGCAGCGACGCCGCGUGAGGGAUGGAGGCCUUCGGGUUGUGAACCUCUUUCGCCAGUGAAGAAGGUCCUGCUCUUUGUGGUGGGGUUGACGGUAGCUGGGUUAAUGAAGCGCCGGCUAACUACGUG